Phacochoerus africanus (Common warthog) is the source of this 553-nucleotide non-coding RNA. Lineage: Eukaryota; Metazoa; Chordata; Mammalia; Artiodactyla; Suidae. The record is from the annotation of a RefSeq genome assembly.
GGGGAGUCACACAGGAACCCAGGGACUAGGUAUAUGAGCUGCCAGACACUCCAAGACACUGAACGCUCAGUCUGAGGCACAACAAAACACACUUGCGCAGGGGAAUCCGUGCCACAUGCCGCUCUCCAGCCUGCUCUGGCUCUUCCUGGCCUCCGUCUUCUCUGGAUCCGGUGUGACCCAGGAAGUUACUCAAGACCAGCCAGCUGUGUUCAGUCAAGUAGGGGAGGCAGUCACCCUAAACUGUCGCUACGAAAUAGGUUGGACCUGGCUCAAGUAUAACCUUUUUUGGUAUAAACAGCCUCCCAGUGGAGAGAUGACUUUCCUUAUUCAUCAGCAUUCUGAUAGCUCAAAUGCAAGGGAUGGCCGCUACUCCGUAAACUUCCAGAAAGCACAAAAAUCCAUCAGCCUCACCAUUUCAGCCUUACAGCUGAAAGAUUCUGCUACAUACUUCUGUGCUCUCCGGGAACUCACAGUGCUUGAAGUAAUAGGAAAAGCUAAACAAAAACUCCAGAGCUCAAUAAGAGAGAGCCCCCCUGCUGCAGGACCCAGCUGA